RNAcentral lists this ribosomal RNA (468 nucleotides) under uncultured bacterium. Its description in RNAcentral is "partial 16S ribosomal RNA". It matches the Rfam family "Bacterial small subunit ribosomal RNA", at positions 28 to 507 of the family's 1533-position model. The record is from RNAcentral.
GACGAACGCUGUCUGCGUGCUUAACACAUGCAAGUCGAACGGAAAGGCCCUGCUUUUGUGGGGUGCUCGAGUGGCGAACGGGUGAUUAACACGUGAGUAACCUGCCCUUGACUUUGGGAUAACUUCAGGAAACUGGGUCUAAUACCGGAUAGGAGCUCCUGCUGCAUGGUGGGGGUUGGAAAGUUUCGUCGGUUGGGGAUGGACUCGCGGCUUAUCAGCUUGUUGGUGGGGUAGUGGCUUACCAAGGCUUUGACGGGUAGCCGGCCUGAGAGGGUGACCGGCCACAUUGGGACUGAGAUACGGCCCAGACUCCUACGGGAGGCAGCAGUGGGGAAUAUUGAACAAUGGGCGGAAGCCUGAUGCAGCAACGCCGCGUGAGGGAUGACGGACUUCGGGUUGUAAACCGCUUUCGCCUGUGACGAAGCGUGAGUGACGGUAAUGGGUAAAGAAGCACCGGCUAACUACGUG